AUCCAGCUGACGAGUCCAAAGUAGGACGAAACACGGAUUCUGCAU
RNAcentral lists this non-coding RNA (45 nucleotides) under Schistosoma margrebowiei. The record is from RNAcentral. Lineage: Eukaryota; Metazoa; Platyhelminthes; Trematoda; Strigeidida; Schistosomatidae.